This is a non-coding RNA of Podarcis lilfordi (Lilford's wall lizard), 76 nucleotides long. NCBI's taxonomy places the organism in Eukaryota, Metazoa, Chordata, Lepidosauria, Squamata, Lacertidae. The record is from the annotation of a GenBank genome assembly.
GACUUUGGGAUAACUCAGUCGAUAGAGCAUGAGACUCUUACUCUCAGAGCUGUGGGUUCAAAUCCCACGUUGGUCA